This is a long non-coding RNA of Stomoxys calcitrans (stable fly), 675 nucleotides long. RefSeq lists it as uncharacterized. The transcript is spliced from 3 exons. Lineage: Eukaryota; Metazoa; Arthropoda; Insecta; Diptera; Muscidae. The record is from RefSeq and is a predicted model, not a curated record.
UAAAACAAAGCCUCAUAGACCAGAGUCUAAAAGUGAAUAUUUUGAAGUUUGGGACCAAGAAAUUUGCGCUGCAAAAAAGUCCCUAGCGGCAAGUUGCUAGAAAGACACAGAAAGGAAAUAGUUACGGCAUGAUGAACAAAGAUCAAGUCAUCCAGCAAUGCAUAAACAAAACCGGUCCCUUAAGAAUACAGAUAUUAAAUACAUCAUCUCUGAAAACUAUUUAACCCUAAAAAUGCUGUAACUUUGAAUCUUCGAGCUCGAAGGCCCACUGAAUUGAGAAACGACUGAAGAAUCAGCAGACGUUCACAGAUUCAGUGAAAUUUCAAAAUCUUCGUGCAACCAUGUCAUUAUUUCGAAUAGGGUUAGUUAGGUUAGGUUAAGUUAGUUAGGUUCGAUUAGGUUUAGGUUAGAGUGGCAGUACAUUUUCUAUUCAGACUGACUCAGACUAUUUUAGUCGGUUGUGGUACCACGAUAGCGACAGGCCAGGCCUGUGGUAGGAACCGAACCCACAACCUCCACACUAGUUAUCCAAGCACGCUACCAACUCAACUGCCGAGGCGAUUCAGUUAUAUUAGAUGGUCAUAUUCUACUUCAAAAUACUGUAGAAUGACAAAAUUCCUUUUAUUAUGUUGUAAUAUGUAUGUACUUUUAAAAUAAAUGUUAUUUAUUAUUUGU